UGGGGAAACACUAAAGAUGGAAACGGC
This 27-nucleotide non-coding RNA is filed under the name Homo sapiens (human). The record is from RNAcentral. Lineage: Eukaryota; Metazoa; Chordata; Mammalia; Primates; Hominidae.